UACGUAGGGGGCAAGCGUUGUCCGGAUUUAUUGGGCGUAAAGAGCGUGUAGGCGGCCUGACAGGUCUGCUGUGAAAACUCGAGGCUCAACCUCGAGAUGUCGGCGGAAACCGUCUGGCUAGAGUCCGGAAGAGGAGAGUGGAAUUCCUGGUGUAGCGGUGAAAUGCGCAGAUAUCAGGAAGAACACCUAUGGCGAAGGCAGCUCUCUGGGACGGUACUGACGCUGAGGAGCGAAAGCGUGGGGAGCAAACAGG
RNAcentral lists this ribosomal RNA (253 nucleotides) under uncultured bacterium. RNAcentral describes it as "partial 16S ribosomal RNA". It matches the Rfam family "Bacterial small subunit ribosomal RNA", at positions 524 to 776 of the family's 1533-position model. The record is from RNAcentral.